UACAGAGGUCCCAACCGUUGUUCGGAUUCAUUGGGCGUAAAGGGUGCGUAGGCGGUCGCGCAAGUCGGAUGUGAAAUCUCGGGGCUCAACCCCGAAACUGCAUUCGAUACUGCGUGGCUAGAGUGCUGGAGGGGAGACUGGAAUUUACGGUGUAGCAGUGAAAUGCGUAGAUAUCGUAAGGAAGACCAGUGGCGAAGGCGGGUCUCUGGACAGUUCCUGACGCUGAGGCACGAAGGCCAGGGGAGCGAACGGG
RNAcentral lists this ribosomal RNA (253 nucleotides) under uncultured bacterium. Its description in RNAcentral is "partial 16S ribosomal RNA". It matches the Rfam family "Bacterial small subunit ribosomal RNA", at positions 524 to 776 of the family's 1533-position model. The record is from RNAcentral.